UACAGAGGGUGCAAGCGUUGUUCGGAAUUACUGGGCGUAAAGGGCGCGUAGGCGGCCUGAUAAGUAGGGGGUGAAAUCCUGCGGCUUAACCGCAGGGCUGCCUUCUAAACUGUCAGGCUGGAGCACAGUAGAGGCAGGUGGAAUUCCCGGGUGUAGCGGUGGAAUGCGUAGAGAUCCGGAGGAAGACCGGUGGCGAAGGCGGUCUGCUGGGCAGUUCUGGACACUGAUGCGCGCAGCGUGGGGAGCAAACAGG
This 253-nucleotide ribosomal RNA is filed under the name uncultured bacterium. RNAcentral describes it as "partial 16S ribosomal RNA". It matches the Rfam family "Bacterial small subunit ribosomal RNA", at positions 524 to 776 of the family's 1533-position model. The record is from RNAcentral.